ACUCAACACGGGAAACCUCACCCGGCCCGGACACGGACAGGAUUGACAGAUUGAUAGCUCUUUCUCGAUUCCGUGGGUGGUGGUGCAUGGCCGUUCUUAGUUGGUGGAGCGAUUUGUCUGGUUAAUUCCGAUAACGAACGAGACUCUGGCAUGCUAACUAGUUACGCGACCCCCGAGCGGUCGGCGUCCCCCAACUUCUUAGAGGGACAAGUGGCGUUCAGCCACCCGAGAUUGAGCAAUAACAGGUCUGUGAUGCCCUUAGAUGUCCGGGGCUGCACGCGCGCUACACUGACUGGCUCAGCGUGUGCCUACCCUACGCCGGCAGGCGCGGGUAACCCGUUGAACCCCAUUCGUGAUGGGGAUCGGGGAUUGCAAUUAUUCCCCAUGAACGAGGAAUUCCCAGUAAGUGCGGGUCAUAAGCUUGCGUUGAUUAAGUCCCUGCCCUUUGUACACACCGCCCGUCGCUACUACCGAUUGGAUGGUUUAGUGAGGCCCUCGGAUCGGCCCCGCCGGGGUCGGCCCACGGCCCUGGCGGAGCGCUGAGAAGACGGUCGAACUUGACUAUCUAGAGGAAGUAAAAGUCGUAACAAGGUUUCGGUAGGUGAACCUGCGGAAGG
This 617-nucleotide ribosomal RNA is filed under the name Odocoileus virginianus (white-tailed deer). RNAcentral's name for it is "SSU rRNA". It matches the Rfam family "Eukaryotic small subunit ribosomal RNA", at positions 1198 to 1824 of the family's 1831-position model. Lineage: Eukaryota; Metazoa; Chordata; Mammalia; Artiodactyla; Cervidae. The record is from RNAcentral.